Long non-coding RNA from Astatotilapia calliptera (eastern happy), 349 nucleotides. The record is from Ensembl. NCBI's taxonomy places the organism in Eukaryota, Metazoa, Chordata, Actinopteri, Cichliformes, Cichlidae.
CCUUCUUCUCCAACCUGAGAGUCUCUAGUGGUGGAGUUGAAUGCAGCCUCCAGAAGAGUGACUGAUCAGGAGAAGUACCCUGCACUUCACCUCUCUGACAGAGACACUGGAGAGCGAUUUGGGCUUGAACACAGAGAGCCAGGCUGCCGUCCAGUCCCUCUGAACUGGGACAAACACAAAACCCUGAGAAAAGAUGAACCGGCUGCCCUUCAGCCCCCAUCCUCUGUUCCAAAACCUGUGGCUGCCCAACUUCAGGUUCCAGCAGCAGGACCCUCCUCCAGCCUGGCACCGCUAGGUGUGGCAUCCCCCACACCAGCACCACCUGUCACCCACCCUUUCUCUGGUGCAC